Molecule: long non-coding RNA, 1288 nt
Filed under: Cyanistes caeruleus (blue tit)
Lineage: Eukaryota; Metazoa; Chordata; Aves; Passeriformes; Paridae
Description: lncRNA (ENSCCEG00000002973.1)
Source: RNAcentral
CAAUAUAUUUACAGGAAACUGUUUUAGUUCAUUGUAUUAUUUUAUCUAUCUGUAUACAGAUUGCUGCAUGUAAUUGAACUGUUUUUAUAAUAAUAUCCAUUGGACAUUGGAUUGACUUGAGGGACAUGAAUGAGUGAUUUCAAGUUGUUAAAGCAGUUCUAGGUGUUUGGCUUUGCAGAUGAAAUUAGCAGCUCAUUGUGUAAUGCCAAAAGUCACUGUGGAGCUAGAAGUGAUCUGCUGUGAAAAAGCAACAGCAACUCCUGAUUUUUUGAGUUAAAAUGGAUGGACAAGGACAGAAAGAGACAACAUUGGUAAAGGCAAAAGGAUUUGGUAUGUGAUUAUCUCACAGGAGCUACAUCUUGUAGAUACCAGAUGUUUCACAAUAACAGUAACUCUGGAGUUGCUUCAUUGUUAUAACAAGAAGAUUUUACUGCUGAGAGAAAGCUACAACAAGGGCUAUUUUACAAAAGACAGAAUCCUGACCUUUCUCCAAAACAUCAAAUACUUGAAAUCUUAAUUUUCCAAGCAAAGCUUGAAAUUUUUUCAUGCAAUGCCAGGAAUCAUCAUCCAUCUAAAAUUGCAGUGACUCAGAUGAUAUGGAUUCUGACACUGUACAUAAAUAAAGCAGCAGUUCACAAAAGAAGAAAUCCAGCUCACAUUUAUAAAGGACUUGGAUAUUCAGGGACAACUUCUGAGAGUAUUACUCACUUUGGAUGAAAUCUUCUUCUGGUAUAUAAGUCCAUUCAGAUGAUGCUAUCUAGGAUGAGUUAUAGGAGGCAUAGGAAAGGAUGGAAUUUUUACGGAAAGUCACCCAGAAAGAUGUCUUAAACAUAGACAGUUAAACAUACACAAUUUAACUGGCUAACAGAUAGAUGCUGCUAGAUGUAUGCUAUUCUUCAGAGGCUAGCCUAUCAGUUCCUCUCCACAGGAAUUUUGCAGCAUUGUUCUACAUGAACUGUAAAACCAAAUUAAAACUGCUUGUUUACAUAGCCAGCUUCUGAACCUUAACAAGGAGAGUAUUUUUGUGGCAAAGUUGUCCUUAGAUGAAAUGUGGAAUAAGUACUUCAGAGAAAAGGUUAAUGGUAGAUAGCCAUUUUUUAUUUUUAUUGUAAGCCUCUGGCAUUAUGCCAAAUACCAAAAAUGGGAAGAAAUGUCAUUUUCUUGCUCCAAUGAAAUUACAUGUAUGUAAAAGUUUCAAUCCAGUCAUAAGAAAAUGAAAGAAAUACCUCAGCUAAAACAGAAACAUUUGAACAAUAAACUACAGAGAGAUUACUUACUGGCUAUCCUA